This 279-nucleotide ribosomal RNA is filed under the name uncultured bacterium. RNAcentral's name for it is "partial 16S ribosomal RNA". It matches the Rfam family "Bacterial small subunit ribosomal RNA", at positions 506 to 784 of the family's 1533-position model. The record is from RNAcentral.
UGCCAGCAGCCGCGGUAAGACGAACCGUCCAAACGUUGUUCGGAAUCACUGGGCAUAAAGCGCGCGUAGACUGCCCUGUAAGUGUGAAGUGAAAGCCCACGGCUCAACCGUGGAAUUGCUUUGCAUACUGCAGGGCUAGAGGACGGUAGGGGAGAGCGGAACUCCUGGUGGAGCGGUGAAAUGCGUAGAUAUCAGGAGGAACACCGGUGGCGAAGGCGGCUCUCUGGAACGUUUCUGACGCUGAGGUGCGAAAGCCAGGGUAGCAAACAGGAUUAGAUA